UUAAUUGAAGCCAAAAUAGAGGCCUUUCAUUGUUAAUGAAAAAAUUGAUAUUAAUAUCCAAUUAAA
This 66-nucleotide transfer RNA is filed under the name Dolycoris baccarum (sloe bug). RNAcentral describes it as "tRNA-Asn". RNAcentral also lists the same sequence under 2 other names. The record is from RNAcentral. Lineage: Eukaryota; Metazoa; Arthropoda; Insecta; Hemiptera; Pentatomidae.